GACGCUGUGGUCUAGUUGGUUAAAGUGCUUAUCUAAUAAACAGGAGUUCCUGGGUUUGAAUCCCAGCAGUGCCU
Danio rerio (zebrafish) is the source of this 74-nucleotide non-coding RNA. The record is from Rfam. Lineage: Eukaryota; Metazoa; Chordata; Actinopteri; Cypriniformes; Danionidae.